This 253-nucleotide ribosomal RNA is filed under the name uncultured bacterium. RNAcentral describes it as "partial 16S ribosomal RNA". It matches the Rfam family "Bacterial small subunit ribosomal RNA", at positions 524 to 776 of the family's 1533-position model. The record is from RNAcentral.
CACGUAGGGCGCGAGCGUUGUCCGGAAUUAUUGGGCGUAAAGAGCUCGUAGGCGGCCUGUUGCGUCCGCUGUGAAAGCCCGGGGCUUAACCCCGGGUCUGCAGUGGAUACGGGCAGGCUAGAGGUAGGUAGGGGAGAAUGGAAUUCCCGGUGUAGCGGUGAAAUGCGCAGAUAUCGGGAGGAACACCCGUGGCGAAGGCGGCUCUCUGGGACGGUACUGACGCUGAGACGCGAAAGCGUGGGGAGCGAACAGG